Molecule: long non-coding RNA, 729 nt
Filed under: Cyanistes caeruleus (blue tit)
Lineage: Eukaryota; Metazoa; Chordata; Aves; Passeriformes; Paridae
Description: lncRNA (ENSCCEG00000022289.1)
Source: RNAcentral
GCGCCGGCCGCCCGCGGCGGGAUGGCCGUGGCCUGUGUUUAUGUAUUUUGUAGUAAUCACAUUUCUGACAUUACCCGCGGGGUGAUUGGCUCAGGCAGCUUUUAAACCACCUAUAUGCUAACGAGCCCGCCGCGGCUCCGGCGGGGGCCUGCGGGGGGACAGCGAACCCCAGCCCGCACCGCUGCCAGGCGGGGAGAGGGGGGGAUGGCAUUUCUGAACUAGUCGGCAGCGCGGACAGGAAAUGACCCCUCCAGAAACUGCUGCUUUAAAAGCGAGCGGCGGUGCCUGAAGCUAUCCAGCCUCCCUCUCCGUGUCUGGAGCCUGUGCGCUCCCGCUCCCCCCACCCCCCGCCCGUCUCCGCCGGAGCGGGCUCCCACAGCAGCCCCCAGCCAGUGCGUGCAGCCUGGAUGUGUGUGUGUGUGUGCGCGCCGCUACUUUGUACUGUGAAGAACACACAGCCCAUGUGCUCUGAGACACACACCAUACAUGGUGCAACCAGAGUACCGAAUAUAUGAAAUGAACAAGAGGCUGCAGUCGCGGACGGAGGAAUUGCAUUUAAAAUUCCCAGACAUCUAAAGCUUUUUCAGCGUCAAACUGACCACUGAUCUUAAAAAAAAUCAUCUACAUCAGCACCAACUCAAUCACUGACAAGGGCUGGAGGAAAUGAAACAUCUGGGAUCUAUUAAGAUUUUUAUUUAUGCUUUUAAAUAUUGAAGUGUGCAUGGCUGC